Long non-coding RNA from Mytilus californianus (California mussel), 1287 nucleotides. RefSeq lists it as uncharacterized. Lineage: Eukaryota; Metazoa; Mollusca; Bivalvia; Mytilida; Mytilidae. The transcript is spliced from 7 exons. The record is from RefSeq and is a predicted model, not a curated record.
GCCCCAGGAUAUUUACGUCAGGACAGGUAACAUAUGCAUCCGAAAGUAAGUAUAUUUUUUUUUUAUUUAUUAAUAGUUUUCUGAUAGAUAUUAAAAUAAUUUGAAUAUGUAUUACAGAUAGACGGCAGCCCAGAGAGAAGAAAAAAGAAGUCCUAGACAUGGAGAUGAUAUAAUUUUUGAUGCCUAGAUGAUGAUAUACCAGCCCCAGGAUAUUUACGUCAGGACAGGUAACAUAUGCAUCCGAAAGUAAGUAUAUUUUUUUUUUAUUUAUUAAUAGUUGUCUGAUAGAUAUUAAAAUAAUUUGAAUAUGUAUUACAGAUAGACGGCUGCCCAGAGAGAAGAAAAAAGAAGUCCUAGACAUGGAGAUGAUAUAAUUGUUGAUGCCUAGAUGAUGAUAUACCAGCCCCAGGAUAUUUACGUCAGGACAGGUAACAUAUGCAUCCGAAAGUAAGUAUAUUUUUUUUUUAUUUAUUAAUAGUUGUCUGAUAGAUAUUAAAAUAAUUUGAAUAUGUAUUACAGAUAGACGGCAGCCCAGAGAGAAGAAAAAAGAAGUCCUAGACAUGGAGAUGAUUUAAUUGUUGAUGCCUAGAUGAUGAUGCCUGAGAAGUUUUAGUGGUACAGCUUGAAGAUGGUUCCAUUGUACAUAGAAGAUGAAGAUGAGUUAGGAUAAACCUUGUUAGGUUAUUACAGUGACUGUUUUCAUGGAUGGGGAGUAAAACUUUGUGGUCUAAUACUCAUAAAUUAAUGAAGAUUUUGGAUCCUUUUGGCUUGAAAGAUUGUCAGGAACAUGAAGAAACUGAAUCUGUAAUAAACAUGGGUACACAAACAGACAAAAUAACAACAACACUGGUUGAUACAAUUCUAGGAACCGGUGAAGAAGUUAAAAGUUUUACAAUAUACUGAAGACUUGCAACGGAAAAUCCAGGAAACAGGUUUUUUACUGAACAGUAUGAGAGAGCCAAGAUGAUUGUUGGUUUUAAAAUGCUUGGAAAAUACAACCAAAUGAAGACAAAAAAAUGAACUGCAUCAACAAACAAAACAACUACUGGAACAUUGGGGCAUCAGUACUGAGUUCUGAUUCUAAAAACAAUUGUUCAAAAUCUUCUACAAGUUUAAGAAGACUGUACAUACAUGUAUAUAUAUAUAUAUAUUUAUAUAAGAAAGAAAAAAAAUAAUGCAUGUGCUUGAAACUUGUGUACAUACAUCAUGUAAUGAAUAGAAAAAUGAAAGAAAACAAAAUGAAAACAAAAUGAAAAGAAAAAAGAAAGAAAAUUAAAAAAAAGAAAA